UGUUUUACAGUAGUGUGUAGACUGUUUCGUACUGUCGGGGGCCGUUGGGGUUGACGGUGGACCCAAAUUUCUGUAUCAUCGCUGUUAGUGCGAGGUGGAUAUCCAAAUGAGUGCAGGUAGAGUUACGCUCGCACUGAGAAGCAGAGUGAGUUGUUACAGUAGAGUUAGACGGUGUCGGACCGUCAGGUGCCGUCGGGGCUGACGGUAGA
Molecule: long non-coding RNA, 209 nt
Filed under: Ananas comosus (pineapple)
Lineage: Eukaryota; Viridiplantae; Streptophyta; Magnoliopsida; Poales; Bromeliaceae
Description: long non-coding RNA (ACOM_LNC029305)
Source: RNAcentral